This 492-nucleotide ribosomal RNA is filed under the name uncultured bacterium. Its description in RNAcentral is "partial 16S ribosomal RNA". It matches the Rfam family "Bacterial small subunit ribosomal RNA", at positions 29 to 507 of the family's 1533-position model. The record is from RNAcentral.
ACGCUCGCUGGCGGCGUGCUUAACACAUGCAAGUCGAACGGUGAAGCACCUUCCUUUUGGUGGGUGUGGAUGAGUGGCGAACGGGUGAGUAACACGUGAGUAACCUGCCCCCUUCUUCUGGAUAACCGCAUGAAAGUGUGGCUAAUACGGGAUAUUCUGGGUCUGUCGCAUGGCGGGCCUGGGAAAGAUAUUGUUUCGGUGGGGGAUGGGCUCGCGGUCUAUCAGCUUGUUGGUGGGGUGAUGGCCUACCAAGGCGGUGACGGGUAGCCGGCCUGAGAGGGUGGACGGUCACACUGGGACUGAGACACGGCCCAGACUCCUACGGGAGGCAGCAGUGGGGAAUAUUGCACAAUGGGCGCAAGCCUGAUGCAGCGACGCCGCGUGAGGGAUGGAGGCCUUCGGGUUGUAAACCUCUUUCGCCAGUGAAGCAGGCCUGUCCCUUUUGUGGGUGGGUUGACGGUAGCUGGAUAAGAAGCGCCGGCUAACUACGUG